GGGGAUAUAGCUUAGUGGUUUCGGCGCCUGACUGGGAAGCACAAGGUCCUGAGUUCAAUCCCCAGUACCUCCC
Molecule: transfer RNA, 73 nt
Filed under: Fukomys damarensis (Damara mole-rat)
Lineage: Eukaryota; Metazoa; Chordata; Mammalia; Rodentia; Bathyergidae
Rfam family: tRNA
About the family: Transfer RNA (tRNA) molecules are approximately 80 nucleotides in length. Their secondary structure includes four short double-helical elements and three loops (D, anti-codon, and T loops). Further hydrogen bonds mediate the characteristic L-shaped molecular structure. tRNAs have two regions of fundamental functional importance: the anti-codon, which is responsible for specific mRNA codon recognition, and the 3' end, to which the tRNAs corresponding amino acid is attached (by aminoacyl-tRNA synthetases). tRNAs cope with the degeneracy of the genetic code in two manners: having more than one tRNA (with a specific anti-codon) for a particular amino acid; and 'wobble' base-pairing, i.e. permitting non-standard base-pairing at the 3rd anti-codon position.
Source: Rfam by way of RNAcentral